RNAcentral lists this ribosomal RNA (292 nucleotides) under uncultured bacterium. Its description in RNAcentral is "partial 16S ribosomal RNA". It matches the Rfam family "Bacterial small subunit ribosomal RNA", at positions 505 to 796 of the family's 1533-position model. The record is from RNAcentral.
GUGCCAGCAGCCGCGGUAAUACGUAGGGGGCAAGCGUUGUUCGGAAUUACUGGGCGUAAAGGGCGCGUAGGCGGUACGACAAGUCUGGAGUGAAAGCCCGGGGCUCAACCCCGGAAUGUCUUUGGAAACUGUCGAACUUGAGUGCGGAAGAGGCAUCUGGAAUUCCCAGUGUAGCGGUGAAAUGCGUAGAUAUUGGGAAGAACACCUGAGGCGAAGGCGGGAUGCUGGGCCGACACUGACGCUGAGGCGCGAAAGCCAGGGGAGCGAACGGGAUUAGAAACCCUAGUAGUCC